GCUUUAAAAAUGAUUGCAAUCGAUGGAGUCUGUUGAAUGACAGAUCUAAAUAUUCCAGAUGUUUGAAAUUUUCUAACACAUCGUUCUUAAUAUUUUGAAUUUUGUUAUUACGAAUAAUCAGUUUCAUUAUAUUUGGACAAUCAGUGAAAUGGCCGCCGUUGAUUUCCUCGAUCAGAUUGAAACUAAGAUCUAACACUUUCAAAUUCGGAAGCAAAUACAGAGAGUGGUCAUAAUUUCUGGUAUGUUUUGAGUGUUUAAAAUUAUUUGUCGUUUGUCUACUGAUUGAAUGUUGCUGGAUGCUAUACGGUGGGGCAAAUCGUUUCAAAAUUGACAUGAUCGAAGGUCUGGAAUUCGAUCAGUCGCGAAUUAUCAGAAAUAUCUGAUGAUUUGUCUGAGGUGUCUGAGAUGAUGAGGGAUAAUAACAAAUGAAUGGAUAAACCGCGGACGCUAUGGACACUUCCGUGCAAGGAGGAGCACACUGAAGUCGAUGUAGCUUAGGGAACAGGAGCCAUUGUUGUGUCCGGAUACCUUUCGGAAGUACAACAUAAGUUAACCAGUGCUUCGACGGCGGUAAACAAAACCAUAAAUCGGGCUAGAAUUGCGAUUAAGCAACUAGGACUAAAUCAGUACCUGAUCGAUGGCAGACUAAAGUGAUGGGCUACGAAGCAUUUGAAUCGGAUUACAACCAAUGACGAUGGAAUUAUAAUAGCUGAGAAACAAGUGUUGUUUUUUUAAAAUAUUGUUUUUUUUUUAGAUUGUAGGUUUCGAGAUUUUCAUUCUAUGGAAGGCUUCAGGGCAUUGCCAUAAAGUGUAAUUAAAUGUUAUGUUAUAUGUAUAAGCCUUGUAGCUUGAUGCUAUCCACUUAUGUAUGUUAUGAGUUCCAAAUUCCAACUCUAUCAGAUUAAAAACUUAAUUUUCAUACGGAUAAUAUUUCCAAACACUAUCCAAACGGUAGCUCACCACAUUUCAAGAAAAAGUAGUCGGGAAACUAGUUCAUAAGGCUGAAAAAUUUUACACUAGAUACAAAUAUUGAGAACUGUUUUAGGCAUUGGCAGAAUCUAUAGAUUCUUAGCGACAGCCUAGAAUCUGUAAAACCUGCUUCAAAAAUGAGCAUAGAAUUCUCGGUUCUCGGAUAGUGAUGAAGACUGUCUGGGAUACCCUUCAGUUUAUCGGUAUAUGAGAGAUCGCUUCAAUUCAAUAUGUAUAACACAAUCCGAAGGACUUCAAUAGCGAAACAU
Molecule: long non-coding RNA, 1238 nt
Organism: Toxorhynchites rutilus septentrionalis
Lineage: Eukaryota; Metazoa; Arthropoda; Insecta; Diptera; Culicidae
Exons: 3
Source: RefSeq, a predicted model, not a curated record